GGAAAUUGUGAUAAAAAUCAAUUUAAAACUCGAAGAAAGCCUUGAAUCGGAUGUUGAGGAACACCAGCGUAAAGGGGGACGGCCGGAGUGCUUAAAAAAAGGCGGUGCGGUUCAAUGAGGCCAAUUGUGUCUAAUGGUAUCCAACUGAGCAGAAACUCUGAGCUGUGAGAAUUGCCUCAAAUUAGGAUGUCCCAAGGUUUGACAGCUCGCUUGAGUCCAUCCGAGUUUAUCUGACUAUCUGUAAUGAUAAUUCAGUUCCUCACAUUGUCACUCAAUAAACCCUACCAGUAAACAUCUCUGAAGCUGUAGAAGAUCUGAGGGAUCUGGGUGUCCUAGCACAUGAAUCACAAAAGGAUACCUCCCAGAAUGUGACGAGCAUCACUAACAAGUUGAGCCUCUCUGAGAGGGAGAAGUGGAGUGAACAUAAAAUGGCUGAUGUUGGGUAGAUGAGGGCUCGGAAACAAUAUUGAACAGGCACUCCAGAUCACCAGCUCUAAUAUCUUCCAUAGGACCAGCAAUCAGUAGCGAAUUUUUAAAACUGAAACAGCUUCAAUGAAAUUCAUGAUACAGGUGGUGUGUGCAGCCUAUUUAUUCCACCGUCAAAGGUAGGUAUAGAUGAGUAACUUCACUCAUUCCUCUUCUCCCCUUCCUCGGUUCUGCUUCUUUCCAUCUUGCCCUGUUCUUCCUCCCAGAGUAGUGAAGAGGUCAC
Carcharodon carcharias (great white shark) is the source of this 709-nucleotide long non-coding RNA. RefSeq lists it as uncharacterized. The record is from RefSeq and is a predicted model, not a curated record. The transcript is spliced from 5 exons. Lineage: Eukaryota; Metazoa; Chordata; Chondrichthyes; Lamniformes; Lamnidae.